Molecule: ribosomal RNA, 497 nt
Filed under: uncultured bacterium
Lineage: Bacteria
Description: partial 16S ribosomal RNA
Rfam family: Bacterial small subunit ribosomal RNA
Source: RNAcentral
GAUGAACGCUGGCGGCGUGCCUAAUACAUGCAAGUCGAGCGAACAGACGAGGAGCUUGCUCCUCUGACGUUAGCGGCGGACGGGUGAGUAACACGUGGAUAACCUACCUAUAAGACUGGGAUAACUUCGGGAAACCGGAGCUAAUACCGGAUAAUAUAUUGAACCGCAUGGUUCAAUAGUGAAAGACGGUUUUGCUGUCACUUAUAGAUGGAUCCGCGCCGCAUUAGCUAGUUGGUAAGGUAACGGCUUACCAAGGCGACGAUGCGUAGCCGACCUGAGAGGGUGAUCGGCCACACUGGAACUGAGACACGGUCCAGACUCCUACGGGAGGCAGCAGUAGGGAAUCUUCCGCAAUGGGCGAGAGCUUGACGGAGCAACGCCGCGUGAGUGAUGAAGGUCUUCGGAUCGUAAAACUCUGUUAUUAGGGAAGAACAAAUGUGUAAGUAACUAUGCACGUCUUGACGGUACCUAAUCAGAAAGCCACGGCUAACUACGUG